Molecule: ribosomal RNA, 526 nt
Filed under: Bifidobacterium longum subsp. infantis
Lineage: Bacteria; Bacillati; Actinomycetota; Actinomycetes; Bifidobacteriales; Bifidobacteriaceae
Also listed under: 1 other name
Description: bacterial SSU rRNA
Rfam family: Bacterial small subunit ribosomal RNA
Source: RNAcentral
GGGUGGUAAUGCCGGAUGCUCCAGUUGAUCGCAUGGUCUUCUGGGAAAGCUUUCGCGGUAUGGGAUGGGGUCGCGUCCUAUCAGCUUGACGGCGGGGUAACGGCCCACCGUGGCUUCGACGGGUAGCCGGCCUGAGAGGGCGACCGGCCACAUUGGGACUGAGAUACGGCCCAGACUCCUACGGGAGGCAGCAGUGGGGAAUAUUGCACAAUGGGCGCAAGCCUGAUGCAGCGACGCCGCGUGAGGGAUGGAGGCCUUCGGGUUGUAAACCUCUUUUAUCGGGGAGCAAGCGAGAGUGAGUUUACCCGUUGAAUAAGCACCGGCUAACUACGUGCCAGCAGCCGCGGUAAUACGUAGGGUGCAAGCGUUAUCCGGAAUUAUUGGGCGUAAAGGGCUCGUAGGCGGUUCGUCGCGUCCGGUGUGAAAGUCCAUCGCUUAACGGUGGAUCCGCGCCGGGUACGGGCGGGCUUGAGUGCGGUAGGGGAGACUGGAAUUCCCGGUGUAACGGUGGAAUGUGUAGAUAUCG